Molecule: ribosomal RNA, 253 nt
Filed under: uncultured bacterium
Lineage: Bacteria
Description: partial 16S ribosomal RNA
Rfam family: Bacterial small subunit ribosomal RNA
Source: RNAcentral
UACGUAGGGUGCAAGCGUUAAUCGGAAUUACUGGGCGUAAAGCGUGCGCAGGCGGUCUUGCAAGACAGAUGUGAAAUCCCCGGGCUCAACCUGGGAACUGCAUUUGUGACUGUAGAGCUGGAGUGCGGCAGAGGGGGAUGGAAUUCCGCGUGUAGCAGUGAAAUGCGUAGAUAUGCGGAGGAACACCGAUGGCGAAGGCAAUCCCCUGGGCCUGCACUGACGCUCAUGCACGAAAGCGUGGGGAGCAAACAGG